This 309-nucleotide ribosomal RNA is filed under the name uncultured bacterium. Its description in RNAcentral is "bacterial SSU rRNA". It matches the Rfam family "Bacterial small subunit ribosomal RNA", at positions 541 to 849 of the family's 1533-position model. The record is from RNAcentral.
UUAUCCGGAUUUACUGGGUGUAAAGGGAGCGCAGGCGGUGCGGCAAGUCUGAUGUGAAAGCCCGGGGCUCAACCCCGGUACUGCAUUGGAAACUGUCGUACUAGAGUGUCGGAGGGGUAAGCGGAAUUCCUAGUGUAGCGGUGAAAUGCGUAGAUAUUAGGAGGAACACCAGUGGCGAAGGCGGCUUACUGGACGAUAACUGACGCUGAGGCUCGAAAGCGUGGGGAGCAAACAGGAUUAGAUACCCUGGUAAUCCACGCCGUAAACGAUGAAUACUAGGUGUUGGGAAGCGUUGCUUCUCGGUGCCGU